GGAAGAAUGGCCGAGCGGUAAGGCAGCGGUUUGCUAAACCGUAACGCCCGAAAGGGCGUGGAUGGGUUCGACUCCCUCUUCUUCCUCCA
This 89-nucleotide transfer RNA is filed under the name Actinomycetota bacterium. Its description in RNAcentral is "tRNA-Ser". It matches the Rfam family "tRNA". From Rfam's summary of the family: Transfer RNA (tRNA) molecules are approximately 80 nucleotides in length. Lineage: Bacteria; Bacillati; Actinomycetota. The record is from RNAcentral.